UGUGCUUGGAGAACUGUUUAUCUGUCUUGGCUUUGUAGCAGGUCCUGUGUUUUACAGGAGGACAAGCAGGGUUGUGAAGAAGUUAUUGAAAGCUUGGAGUAAGGAGAGUUGGGGCUGCAGGGAUGGGGCAGCUGCUGCAGAGCUGGUGCCACUGCCAGAGCAAAAUGUGAACUCUGAUUAAAGCGACAGCCCACUA
Long non-coding RNA from Vidua macroura (Pin-tailed whydah), 196 nucleotides. RefSeq lists it as uncharacterized. The record is from RefSeq and is a predicted model, not a curated record. The transcript has 2 exons. Lineage: Eukaryota; Metazoa; Chordata; Aves; Passeriformes; Viduidae.